UUUGUAGUCACUUUUGGUCUAAAACCUUCCUGAUCUUUAAAUUCCUUUUCCCUGAAACACAAAUCUUCUCAAUUCUCUCAAAUCAAUAAACAAAACACAGGCAGACUAGACUUAUGUAGUCAUUGUUGCAUGAUAUUUAUCACCGUGAACUUUUUCUUCAACUUCCCACCAAGGUGGUCAUCUGUGAAGAUCCUGGUGAUAUCUAUGUGACCCCAGUUACUCUAGGUUCUGGUCUAUGGACUUGGGCUAUCCUUUGAAAAUCCCAAAUUGGUGCUGCCCCCCAACAUUCCUGCAUGCAAGAUCAGAUGUCAACCUGCCAAGCUGCUGCAAUUCAUUCUGUGGUUCAUAUACCAUCCAGCUGAGUGAGGCAACACUCUGA
This 379-nucleotide long non-coding RNA is filed under the name Capra hircus (goat). RNAcentral describes it as "lncRNA (ENSCHIG00010000027.1)". Lineage: Eukaryota; Metazoa; Chordata; Mammalia; Artiodactyla; Bovidae. The record is from RNAcentral.